UGGGGAAUUUUGGACAAUGGGCGAAAGCCUGAUCCAGCAAUGCCGCGUGUGUGAAGAAGGCCUUCGGGUUGUAAAGCACUUUUGUCCGGAAAGAAAUCCUUGGCUCUAAUACAGUCGGGGGAUGACGGUACCGGAAGAAUAAGCACCGGCUAACUACGUGCCAGCAGCCGCGGUAAUACGUAGGGUGCAAGCGUUAAUCGGAAUUACUGGGCGUAAGCGUGCGCAGGCGGUUUGCUAAGACCGAUGUGAAAUCCCCGGGCUCAACCUGGGAACUGCAUUGGUGACUGGCAGGCUAGAGUAUGGCAGAGGGGGGUAGAAUUCCACGUNUAGCAGUGAAAUGCGUAGAGAUGUGGAGGAAUACCGAUGGCGAAGGCAGCCCCCUGGGCCAAUAGCGAUCAUGCACGAAAGCGUGGGGAGCAAACAGGAUUAGAUACCCUGGUUCACGCCCUAAAACGAUGUCAACUAGUUGUUGGGGAUUCAUUUCCUUAGUAACGUAGCUAACGCGUGAAGUUGACCGCCUGGGGAGUACGGUCGCAAGAUUAAAACUCAAAUGAAUUGACGGGGUCAUAGCUGUUUCCU
RNAcentral lists this ribosomal RNA (579 nucleotides) under uncultured bacterium. RNAcentral describes it as "partial 16S ribosomal RNA". It matches the Rfam family "Bacterial small subunit ribosomal RNA", at positions 355 to 1375 of the family's 1533-position model. The record is from RNAcentral.